AGGACGAACGCUGGCGGCGUGCUUAACACAUGCAAGUCGAGCGGAAAGGCCCUUCGGGGUACUCGAGCGGCGAACGGGUGAGUAACACGUGAGUAACCUGCCCUGGACUUUGGGAUAACCCUCGGAAACGGGGGCUAAUACCGGAUACGACACUCCACCGCAUGGUGUGUUUGUGGAAAGUUUUUCGGUCUGGGAUGGGCUCGCGGCCUAUCAGCUUGUUGGUGGGGUAAUGGCCUACCAAGGCGACGACGGGUA
Molecule: ribosomal RNA, 255 nt
Filed under: uncultured soil bacterium
Lineage: Bacteria
Description: partial 16S ribosomal RNA
Rfam family: Bacterial small subunit ribosomal RNA
Source: RNAcentral